Molecule: transfer RNA, 74 nt
Filed under: Candidatus Wildermuthbacteria bacterium
Lineage: Bacteria; Candidatus Wildermuthiibacteriota
Description: tRNA-Arg
Rfam family: tRNA
About the family: Transfer RNA (tRNA) molecules are approximately 80 nucleotides in length. Their secondary structure includes four short double-helical elements and three loops (D, anti-codon, and T loops).
Source: RNAcentral
GUCCCCGUAGCUCAACUGGACAGAGCGUGUGGCUUCGGACCACAAGGUUGAGGGUUCGACUCCUUCCGGGGACA